CAGCUUUUCUGACUCUGGGGCCAGGUGUUUGUAUUUAACUCCACGGUGAGGAGACUCAUCUUCUGACGGACCUAGCCUAUUCCAUCAAGCUCCAGCAUCACAAGCAAAGACAAGAACCUUGCAGAAACUAUUUAACUAACUCCCACAAUUGCAUAAGGAUCUAAAUGACAAUAUUUCUGCAGUGAACCAGUUCUAUUGUUUUAAAUAUCACCCUUAUUAAAGAGAGCUUUGACACUU
Molecule: long non-coding RNA, 237 nt
Filed under: Pan troglodytes (chimpanzee)
Lineage: Eukaryota; Metazoa; Chordata; Mammalia; Primates; Hominidae
Description: lincRNA
Source: RNAcentral